AACUACAAAAAUUAGCCAGGUGUGGUAGUGCGCGCCUAUAAUCCCAGCUACUUGGGAGGUUGAGACAGGAGAAUCGCUUGAACCCUGGAGGAAGAGGUUGCAGUGAACUGAGAUCGCACCACUGCACUCCAGCCUGGGUUACAGAGCGAGACUCCGUCUCAAAAAAAAAAAAAAAAAAAAAGAAGAAGAAGGCAUGUUAGUAUUCUGGUGUGGAGUCUUUUUUGUUUGUUUGUUUUUGUUUGGUUUGGUAAUUGGUUCCUCUUGUAUUUUGUAGAUCUUGUGUGCGUAAUCUAAAAUACUAGAGACUGUAAUGGUUCAGGAAACACGAAGACUUCAUGGAAUGGACAUGUCAGUAAGUAAAUCCACUCUCUGAGCUACUGGCAAGGUCCAAAAGUCAGCCUCUGGCCAACAUGGUGAAACACUGUCUCUACUGAAAAUAUAAAAGGCUGGGCAUGGUAGCUCACAUCUCUAAUCCUAGCACUUUAGGAGACUGAGGCAAGUGGAUCACCUGAGGUCAGGAGUUCGAGACCAGCCUGACCAACA
This 543-nucleotide long non-coding RNA is filed under the name Homo sapiens (human). Its description in RNAcentral is "non-protein coding lnc-MROH8-1:1". The record is from RNAcentral. Lineage: Eukaryota; Metazoa; Chordata; Mammalia; Primates; Hominidae.